GACGAACGCUGGCGGCGUGCUUAACACAUGCAAGUCGAGCGGUAAGGCCCUUUCGGGGGUACGACGAGCGGCGAACGGGUGAGUAACACGUGGGUGACCUGCCCUUAGCUCUGGGAGUAGCCCGGGGAAACCCGGAUUAAUACCGGAUAGCCUUUCGAGCUCUCGGGCUCGUCAGAAAAGGAUGGCUUCGGCUUUCGUUGAGGAUGAGCUUGCGGCGGAUUAGCUUGUUGGUGAGGUAACGGCUCACCAAGGCGACAAUCCGUAGCUGGUCUGAGAGGACGAUCAGCCACACUGGGAC
Molecule: ribosomal RNA, 298 nt
Filed under: uncultured bacterium
Lineage: Bacteria
Description: partial 16S ribosomal RNA
Rfam family: Bacterial small subunit ribosomal RNA
Source: RNAcentral